This is a non-coding RNA of Cinara cedri, 207 nucleotides long. Lineage: Eukaryota; Metazoa; Arthropoda; Insecta; Hemiptera; Aphididae. The record is from the annotation of a GenBank genome assembly.
UCGCGUCGUCGCGCACGUAUUAUCACUGUCAUCGUUACUAAUAUUGUUAUUGUUAUUGUUAUUGUUAUUAUUGUAUGCGUAAUAUUUUACUGUACGGUUUCGUUUUUAAUCCCCCGGAGUCAUCGCCGUAGCCGGACGAUUUCCAAGACCGCGGUGAGUCGUGCAUCCAUAUAUCGAUAAUCGUAUACGGACGGGGGAAAAAAAAAA